UGUCAAAAUGGGUAUAAUUUAGUGGAUCAACCCAAACCAAACCAAUCCAUGGACUUUAAUGAGUCAAGAAUUUGGAUCUUAUUGGAUAAUUGGGUUUAAUGGAUAGUGGGUUUAAUAAGUUUGGUUUAGAAUGAGUUGGACUAAUAUGAGUUAAUGAAUAACCCAAACCAAACCAAUUUCUUCUUUAAUUCCCUUAAAAAAAUUUAGAAGCAGCGACGAUCCUCUCGAAAGCUCCGACGAUCGCCUUCGGCGACCCUUUAAGCUUCGGCGGCGAUCCUCUCGAUCACCCUCUUCGGCCGCGACCCUCUCCAUUUCACCCUCUUCGGCCGCGACCCUCUCGAUCUCUUCGAUUGAUCUCGAUCUCUUCAAUUGAUCUCUACCGUUUCUCAUCUCGUCACCUGCUGUAUCUCGUCAUCUAAGAGGCUCGAUCUCAUCUCCAUCUACCGUAUCUCAUCUCGUCACCUGCCGUAUCUCGUCACCUAAGAGGCUCGAUCUCAUCUCCAUCUUCUCGAUUGUUAUAUUCGUUUGUCUAAAAAUGAUGAACAAUGAUGAAGAGUGUCUUCCAAGUGAUGUUGGUGGACCCAAUGGUGGACAAUCAUCAACAAGUGCAUCACAAUAUCUUCUUGUAAGUUCCACUCAUUCAAAAAGAACUAAAAGAUCAACUACAUGAGACUUCUUUACAAUAGGAAAAGAUGAGAAUUGUCAAGAGAGAGCUUAUUGUAAGAAGUGCCCAAAAAACUAUUUGUGGUUUAGAACUAGUGGAACUUCUAACUUAAAACGCCACGCUGAAAAAUGCUCACAGGGAUUAGAUGGUGAAAGAGAAGAGAGGAAGAUUGAUGAUAAAGUUGCCAGGGAAAAAUUCAGUCGAGUCAUUAUCCGAUGUAAUCUUCCUUUCCUUGCGGUUGAAUAUGAGGAACUUAGGGAUUAUCUAAGUUAUUUAAACCCAGAUUAUAAGUGUUACAUUAGGAACACUGCUGCAAUCGACGUGGUUAAAACUUGGGAGAAAGAGAAGCAAAAGAUAAAGUCUUUCUGAAAUGAAAUGGACAAGAGUUUUAUGUAUGAUUAAGUUGACUUUGUUUCUUUUUUUGUCUAACAGAAUUUUUCCAUGUUUGUUGUGUUUUUACAGGAAGUUUGUUAUUAAAGACAAAAGACAAUGACAAGAAUAAUUCCAUACAGAUGUUCACAUGAUGUUGCUUUUUAAUGAAAAUACUAUGUUUUAAUUUUAUGUUUUAUAAUUUUAUUAAUUUUAACAAUUUGCUUAUAAAUUUGCAUGAUACUAUUUUAGACAGUGUUAAUGAUAUUUUUAUUUGAAAAAUUUAUAUAAAUUUCUCUUUA
This is a long non-coding RNA of Brassica napus (rape), 1335 nucleotides long. RefSeq lists it as uncharacterized. The record is from RefSeq and is a predicted model, not a curated record. Lineage: Eukaryota; Viridiplantae; Streptophyta; Magnoliopsida; Brassicales; Brassicaceae. The transcript has 2 exons.